This 91-nucleotide transfer RNA is filed under the name Ailuropoda melanoleuca (giant panda). It matches the Rfam family "tRNA". From Rfam's summary of the family: Transfer RNA (tRNA) molecules are approximately 80 nucleotides in length. The record is from Rfam by way of RNAcentral. Lineage: Eukaryota; Metazoa; Chordata; Mammalia; Carnivora; Ursidae.
GUCUGUGUGGCUUGGUUGGUUAAGCAUCUGACUCUUGAUUUGAGCUCAGGUCAUGAUCUCAGGGUUGUGAGAUCAAGUCCCACCUCAGGCU